This is a non-coding RNA of Hyaena hyaena (striped hyena), 499 nucleotides long. The record is from the annotation of a RefSeq genome assembly. NCBI's taxonomy places the organism in Eukaryota, Metazoa, Chordata, Mammalia, Carnivora, Hyaenidae.
GACCCCACCCCCAAGCUGAGUGAUAUCUUGGUUUCCCAGUGUUGCCAUGGGCUCCAGGCUUCUCUGCUGCGUGGCCCUUUGUCUCCUGGGAGCAGGCCCAGUGGAUUCCGGAGUCACCCAAACUCCGAGACACCUGGUCAAAGGAAGAGGACAGCAAGUGACGCUGAGUUGUUCCCCUAUCUCUGGACACCUAUCUCUGUACUGGUACCAACAGGCCAUGGGCCAGGGCCCCCAGAUACUCAUUCAGUAUUACGACAGGAAAGAGUAUAACAAAGGAAACUUCUCGGAACGAUUCUCGUGUCAACAGUUCCCCGACUAUCACUCUGAGCUAAACAUGAGCUCCUUGGAGCUGACGGACACGGCCGUCUAUCUCUGUGCCAGCAGCCCUGACACAGCCCUGCGCCCUCCACAGCCUACUGUACAAAAAUAUUCCACUCCCAGCUCAGGAAGUGAUGGCGAGGGUGGUGGCUGCCAGCCACAUGGCCUCUGGCCCUGGUAA